CGCGUAGGCGGUUUCGGAAGUCAUGGGUGAAAGUCCUCGGCUCAACCGAGGGAUUGCCUGUGAAACCACGGGACUGGAGUGCUGGAGAGGGAAGCGGAAUUCCCAGUGUAGCGGUGAAAUGCGUAGAUAUUGGGAGGAACAUCUGUGGCGAAGGCGGCUUCCUGGACAGACACUGACGCUGAGGCGCGAAAGCCAGGGGGAGCGAACG
Molecule: ribosomal RNA, 208 nt
Filed under: uncultured bacterium
Lineage: Bacteria
Description: partial 16S ribosomal RNA
Rfam family: Bacterial small subunit ribosomal RNA
Source: RNAcentral